AUCUGAGAAAUUAGUUUAAGCUGGGAUGCUGAACAGUCUUUCCCAGCAAUGUGGCAGCAGGGCUGCUCCAUGCAGGGAGGGAGGCAGAAGCAAGGUGGGCUGUGUCCACACUGACAAGUGUUCAUGCUUUGCUGCUGGUUCAGUCAGAGCCAUCAGGUACCACCUACUCAUCCUCAGUUGUUGCCUGUAGGGCAAGCACCCAAAACUCCUUUCUGCCUGUUCUCCACAUACAGUUUAAACUGUUUUAACCUGUUUUCUCAAAACAGGAAAAGGGAAUCUUGAUGGGAAAAAAUGUAAGGAAAAACUAAUAAGAAAUAUAAAUAAAUUAUGUAAAAACCUCUUUGAGGCAAAAGAGGCCACAGUGGAACAGAGAGGCCACAGGGCAUGAAGGUAGCCAGAGAUGUUCUUAAUAUGAUACUAGAGAGGACUGGGAUUACAUACAGCCCCUAUGAAGUUAUAUGAGGGGUGGCGUGAGGAUGACAUAGCAUAUCUUGUAUGGGAAGAGUGAAGUCUGAGUGGGACAAAACCAAAAAGGAGCAGUAGCUGCAGUGCUCAUUUUGUCUGUAGAGUAAUAAUGGGAAUUAUUUUUACUGAGAGAAGGAAAGAUGGCAUACUGAAAUUCACUGUCUGAAAGACUUUAAGUGUAGGGCCUAAGGCCAAUCUGUUUUUUUCUACCCUCCCCUCAGUGUAUCCAGCACAGGUGCUUUGAGUUCCAAGGGCCAGUUGGACAGGGUAACUAGCAGGCCAGGCACCUAAUUUAAGUAGAUCUUUGAAUGCCUUUGUGGAAGGUGAAUCAGUGAGAAAGAUGGUACUUAUGUUUGUUUGGUUUCAAAUAAAUUGCUGGUAAUAGCAAAGAAGUUCUAAGUUACAGGAAAAGAGCCAUAAGUGUGUUACUGGACUUAUGAUGAAAUUUCAAGUAAAGGACAGAAAUGCCAUACUUCUUGCAGUACUGCCUGGAUUCAAGGGCAUGUUGUUUAUUUGUGGGCUUCUGAUACUGUGCUGCUAUCAAGCCUCCUUCAGAUGGGCCUUACUCAUGGAUUGGGGUACACAAGAUGCGAUGCAGUCCUUUUGUGAGGGGAAGGUGGGUUGCUGUUUUUGUGUGUGUGUGUGUUUUAAAUGGUGACACACAAUGUAUUUCUUGGCAAAAUGAUAAGUUUUAUAUAAGCUACUGAUGUUACUUGACAAGGAAGACACCCAGCAUAAGAUGUGCUUUUAGUGAAAUACCCAUUGAACAAAGGGUGUUGUUUUUUUUUUUUGAAUCUAUUUAACUAGUAUAAUCUAUUUUGAUUUUUAAAUAAACAUCAGAAUACUGCUUUCUGAAGCUUAACA
RNAcentral lists this long non-coding RNA (1329 nucleotides) under Anser cygnoides (Swan goose). RNAcentral describes it as "lncRNA (ENSACDG00005001575.1)". Lineage: Eukaryota; Metazoa; Chordata; Aves; Anseriformes; Anatidae. The record is from RNAcentral.